GAUGAACGCUGGCGGCGUGCCUAAUACAUGCAAGUCGAACGCUGAAGGAGGAGCUUGCUCUUCUGGAUGAGUUGCGAACGGGUGAGUAACGCGUAGGUAACCUGCCUGGUAGCGGGGGAUAACUAUUGGAAACGAUAGCUAAUACCGCAUGACAACAGUUAUUGCAUGAUAACUGUUUAAAAGGGGCAACUGCUCCACUACCAGAUGGACCUGCGUUGUAUUAGCUAGUUGGUGAGGUAACGGCUCACCAAGGCGACGAUACAUAGCCGACCUGAGAGGGUGAUCGGCCACACUGGGACUGAGACACGGCCCAGACGCCUACGGGAGGCAGCAGUAGGGAAUCGUCGGCAAGGGACGGAAGUCUGACCGAGCAACGCCGCGGGAGUGAAGAAGGGUGUCGGAUCGUAAAGCUCUGUUGUAAGAGAAGAACGAGUGUGAGAGUGGAAAGUUCACACUGUGACGGUAGCUUACCAGAAAGGGACGGCUAACUACGUG
This 495-nucleotide ribosomal RNA is filed under the name uncultured bacterium. RNAcentral's name for it is "partial 16S ribosomal RNA". It matches the Rfam family "Bacterial small subunit ribosomal RNA", at positions 28 to 507 of the family's 1533-position model. The record is from RNAcentral.